Long non-coding RNA from Hypanus sabinus (Atlantic stingray), 1187 nucleotides. RefSeq lists it as uncharacterized. The transcript has 3 exons. NCBI's taxonomy places the organism in Eukaryota, Metazoa, Chordata, Chondrichthyes, Myliobatiformes, Dasyatidae. The record is from RefSeq and is a predicted model, not a curated record.
GUAAAAUGUUUAGAAGAAAGUUGGAAAUUUUCGCAGGCUGAUUUUAUCAACUUAGUGAUAUCAAGUUCACGUUGCUGUCCUUUCACUACAAUUAAUGUGGUCAAGGAAAGAACUUAAUGCAAGGUCAUGCAUUUUCCAGGUCUCCAGAAGGUCAUUAUUGAGAAGUCACUCCCACAUUACUGGCGAUCAACUUUAAGAUCACCCAGCUUUGAAAUGUCUUUUCAGCUUAAAGCACUGAUCUAUAAACCUAAUGCGCCUUCAAAGCCUACUUUGUGGGAGAAGCAAUAAAUGUAUUUAAGGUUUGUAAUUACUUUGCCAUUUCCAUCUCAUGGGACCAAAGAAAGAUAAUCCAUUGUGACAUGCAAACAGUUUGCCUCUUGAACUUAAACUAAAAUCUGCUGGCAAACCCAAACUGUUUGUCAGUUUAAUUAAAAGCUUUUGGCUACAGGUCAAUAACCAUCUUACUUCCUCUACUUGUGGGACAACAUCAUUUACAUUCGCAGUUUCCCUUUGCCACUUUCAUACACUUCAGGAAGUUUGAAAAAUAUAAUAAUUUUAUUCAAAAUAUUGUAUAUCACAGUCCAUCCAUUAACCUACAUCAACCUGCAACACCACAACAUACACUUCCUCUCCACAGACCCUCAGUACUCUUCAUCCCUCACACAUCGCCACUUUACACUUACACUCCACUCUUCAUAGCUGCACUGACAUAGUCACUGCUGUACUCUGCUCUUACCUAAAAGUUUUUCUUUCCAAGAGUCACUUUUUCAUUUUAUCCUGCACCUAGCAUUGCUUCAUAAACAACCAAUCAGUCCAUGUGUUUAAGCUAAUCAUAUGUAUACACUGCCACAGUCAAACAGCUACUUAUAUAUUGCUUCUAUAUCUAUAUUGCGACGCUCUGGGGAGGGGUGAGUUCGACAGCCUGUCCCUGCAUUUCUAAUGAACAAUACUGUUUAUUACUCUUAUGUUAAAAUGCUUUUGUGGGAUUAAGGUCAGGAGUUACAGUUCAUUUAUUGUUACAUUUUAGCUUGGGUUAUACAGUUAUUCACUUGUGUACUUGUGGGUCACCCUGACUGUAACCGGGGUGUGUGAUGGUCACCUCCCCCGUCUGUGUGAGACUGGUUGGGUUCACUCUCCAGGGCAUGGUGCCCGGUCUGUUUUGUGUCUAUCACAAUAAAGCAGUUGUU